GUGUACGGCCAUGCUACCUUGAACAUGCCCGAUCCUAUCUGAUCUCAGAAGUUAAGCAGGGUCGGGCCUGGCUAGUAUUUAGAUGGAAGACCACCUAGGAAGACCAGGUGCUAUAAGCG
Ribosomal RNA from Pteropus vampyrus (large flying fox), 119 nucleotides. Lineage: Eukaryota; Metazoa; Chordata; Mammalia; Chiroptera; Pteropodidae. The record is from Ensembl.